RNAcentral lists this ribosomal RNA (537 nucleotides) under uncultured Pseudomonas sp. RNAcentral describes it as "bacterial SSU rRNA". It matches the Rfam family "Bacterial small subunit ribosomal RNA", at positions 86 to 619 of the family's 1533-position model. The record is from RNAcentral. Lineage: Bacteria; Pseudomonadati; Pseudomonadota; Gammaproteobacteria; Pseudomonadales; Pseudomonadaceae.
CUCUUGAGAGCGGCGGACGGGUGAGUAAUGCCUAGGAAUCUGCCUGGUAGUGGGGGAUAACGUUCGGAAACGGACGCUAAUACCGCAUACGUCCUACGGGAGAAAGCAGGGGACCUUCGGGCCUUGCGCUAUCAGAUGAGCCUAGGUCGGAUUAGCUAGUUGGUGAGGUAAUGGCUCACCAAGGCGACGAUCCGUAACUGGUCUGAGAGGAUGAUCAGUCACACUGGAACUGAGACACGGUCCAGACUCCUACGGGAGGCAGCAGUGGGGAAUAUUGGACAAUGGGCGAAAGCCUGAUCCAGCCAUGCCGCGUGUGUGAAGAAGGUCUUCGGAUUGUAAAGCACUUUAAGUUGGGAGGAAGGGUUGUAGAUUAAUACUCUGCAAUUUUGACGUUACCGACAGAAUAAGCACCGGCUAACUCUGUGCCAGCAGCCGCGGUAAUACAGAGGGUGCAAGCGUUAAUCGGAAUUACUGGGCGUAAAGCGCGCGUAGGUGGUUUGUUAAGUUGGAUGUGAAAUCCCCGGGCUCAACCUGGGA